Molecule: ribosomal RNA, 253 nt
Filed under: uncultured bacterium
Lineage: Bacteria
Description: partial 16S ribosomal RNA
Rfam family: Bacterial small subunit ribosomal RNA
Source: RNAcentral
UACGUAGGGGGCAAGCGUUGUUCGGAAUUACUGGGCGUAAAGGGCGCGUAGGCGGCACAGCAAGUCGGGAGUGAAAGCCCGAGGCUCAACCCCGGAACGGCUUUCGAAACUGCUGAGCUAGAGUACAGAAGGGGCAACCGGAAUUCCCAGUGUAGCGGUGAAAUGCGUAGAUAUUGGGAAGAACACCUGAGGCGAAGGCGGGUUGCUGGGCUGAUACUGACGCUGAGGCGCGAAAGCCAGGGGAGCAAACGGG